This 313-nucleotide long non-coding RNA is filed under the name Brassica napus (rape). RNAcentral describes it as "long non-coding RNA (BNAP_LNC021047)". The record is from RNAcentral. Lineage: Eukaryota; Viridiplantae; Streptophyta; Magnoliopsida; Brassicales; Brassicaceae.
GUCGAUCGAUGUCGGGUGGGUCAGGGCGGUCGACGAAAGAGUAGUCUCGGUCGAAGGUGGAAAGCGAGUGUCGGUCGACGAACGAGUGUUGUUGUCAAUCGAUGCGGUGCAUUUUUAUUUGUGGAUUGAGCGUUCUAAACGUGCAGGAUCUGAAAAGAGCAGUGUUUGUUCCUUGUUGCUUCUGGUACUUCUGGGCAUGCACCUGAAAAGACAAGAAAUUUUUUUUAUCAGUUUUUGCCUAUAACAAAAACCUACACUAAGCCUAACUAAAUUUGAUCUAAUGGCGAUCGAAGCUCCCCGGCAACGGUGCCAA